UUUGUUUGUUGGUGUUAUCAAUAGAGGGCAGUUCUGUUUUGUUUUUUUUCAUAAAUACUCAAAGUUGAAAUGUAACCUUGAUUUGGAAAUUGUUUAUUAUUUUAUUAUUACUUUUUACUUUACAUGCCAUUAUAUAUGAACAGAUGUGUUAUUUUAGGAGUGAUAUAUUUAUUGCAAUAAGCAAUCUUGAUAUUUAAAAUUGAAUUGUGUCUUGUUGAAUGUAAUGAGAUUACUAAAUUUUGAGAUAAGUUUUAUUUCUUUGUUUAUUGAAAUUCAGAUUACUUUUUAACUGAUAUUUGAAAAAGAAAAAAAUGCUCAAUAAAGCAUUUGCCGGAUAGAUUUCAUAAAUGGUAGGAUCAUUUAUCAUCAUAUUCUAUUUACCACACUAGUCAUUUUGAUUUGACCAUUUUUGCAAGAGAAAUGGAACUUGAACAAUUUUCAGCUAACUUGGGGCCAAAGGGUCAAGUGAGCUUUUCAUAUAAUUUGGCAUCUAUCAUCAUUAAAUUUUACCAAACAGUCUAUGAUCUAAGCCCAAGAGUAAAAAGGGAACUUAGAAAACACCAUAUUUUCAAAUUAAACUGUCACAUCAAUUAUAGAUACCACAUGGAUUCUCUCUCAAUUUUUAGGUGACAAUUGUUGCAAGAAGGGAUAAAAAUGAAAUACACA
This 666-nucleotide long non-coding RNA is filed under the name Mytilus galloprovincialis (Mediterranean mussel). Lineage: Eukaryota; Metazoa; Mollusca; Bivalvia; Mytilida; Mytilidae. The record is from RNAcentral.